RNAcentral lists this ribosomal RNA (2322 nucleotides) under Triticum aestivum (bread wheat). RNAcentral's name for it is "partial small subunit ribosomal RNA". Lineage: Eukaryota; Viridiplantae; Streptophyta; Magnoliopsida; Poales; Poaceae. The record is from RNAcentral.
GAAAUUACACCUGAUAGUACGAUCCGAGACAGAACCCCUAGCACCCGAAAAUCGUCGUGCCCUCGAUGCACUUGCCCGUCGCCGUCAUUCGUCCCUAUCGUCCCUUUCUACACGCAGCUUCCGUCCCAGCCGCUCAUCCCUUGUCCGCCUUCACCGCCGGUCAAUCCCUUCGACGCCGCCAUCCGAGUGCAAAUACAGGAAGAUCCCGUAUCAUCCGUCGCUGAUCAUCGGAUCUGGACAGGCGAUUGCAAAGUCAUGAGGAUCCCGCAUGAUCCCUCUGAGUGCCCAUGAUAUGGACCGGCGUGGGACGAAACAGCUGAUUUCUACUCUAGGAGUUUGGGGCUAGUGACGGCCCUCGGAGACGGUGUCAUCAGUAGCAGCAUCUGCCAAGGAUCUCGAGUCUGCAGCUCACAACCGGAUCACAUGCAAAAAGUGACACAAACAAAAAGGUGCGUAUGGGUAAUUCAAGAAGCAAGGCGGUUGAUCAGCAACCAGAAGAGGACGUUACUACGGACCUUACAAGCUCUAUAAUAGUUGAAGAUAACAAUGCAAGCAUCAUACAUGUAUCUCAAAACAUUGGGGAAAAUUCAGCUACGGUUCCAGAUGGAUCAAUGUCGUUUUCGGAUGGAGAGCACAAUGAGGCUUGCUUCACAGCUCCGAGUAUACUGAAUUUGGAUUUUAGCACAAAUCAAGAUGAUGGAACAAGUCCGCUACGGAUUAAAGACCAUCAUGAUGGUUCGUUGUUGGGUUCCAAUAAUCUAACUCUCGAUUGUGGCACAAAUGUAGAUGGCCACAAUAGUAUUGGCGGUGAACCUCCAAACGAUGAUAUCGAUGGUGCGACAAAGCUAACAGACGACAUCAGAUCCAUAGAUCUAAGUCAUAUAACAAAUGAACACCUCAACACACAAAGGCGUGCAGCUUAUCAUAAGAAAAAAGUACAAGACAAUGUGUUGUUGCAGGAGGUUCAACAGCCCUGCUUGUCGAAAUCUGACCAGAGGGAACUUAACAAUGCGUGGAGGCGGGAAUCUUAUCGAAUUAGCAAGACAAAUGGUUUGAAAAAACAACAAGUCGAUGGCCACAUUGUUCAACGUCGUACCCUAGGUGAUAUCACGAAUGUUCGUCAACCUACACAUGUGAUCUCGGAGGACAACAAUGUCACCAAAGAGAAUGUGGCAAUAACCGAAGAAGAUCGCAAAAGAGAUCAUAGAAACGCCCUCAGGAGAGCAUCUUAUCGGAGGAAAAAAGAUCAGGGUCUCCAAGAAAAUAAUCUCCGCACCCUUAAUUUAACUGACAACCCAACUAGCUCCGCCUAUACAACAUUAUCGCAUACUGAUUCAGCAUUUACUGCUACAACUACGGAGACAUCUUGUCUGGUUAAUGACAAUGAUCUACAUGACGUUGACGAGAAUAUACUUGAAGAAACAAAUCAUAUAACCGAGGAAGAUCGCAAGAGAGAUCAUAGAAAUGCUCUUAGGAGAGCAUCUUAUCGGAGGAAAAAGGAUAAGAUAUUAGCAGAUGAAAAUCUACGGCCACUAUCUAAUUCAGAGUGGCUCCUGGUGCCGCCACGCCUUUGAUCUCCUCCGCCAAUCCACUACGAUCCUACUAAUCCGUGUUACAGGCAGGGAGGCCGACGCGGGUGUGGGAUUGCUGGUUUAUGCUGCUCCGUAUGGCAGAUAGCGCGUGUGUCUGUGAGAAAGGCGCAAGGGCCAGAGCAGCUCUAUCCAUGUGUGUAAUUUUGAUGCCGACGAGCAGCAGCAGCCAGGCCUCACGUGUUGAGAGAGAUAGAGAGAUGAGCUAUAAUUUUUAAAUACUGAAUGAUCCCACUGAUCUGUUGCUUCUGCUAAUGCAUUAGCAUAGAGCAUUUGCCUAAUUACGUUGCUGCUAAUGCAUACGCAUAAAUAGACAACAGUAUGUUGUUUGCUAGCUAUCGGAGCGUGUACUUCUACUAUUAUUACGAGACGUGCUCUACUAUUGUUUCUCAUUUGUACGUAUGUGUGUCAUUAAGACAGUCGUGAUGAAAAAGAAUAAACACUAUUCUCCCAUAGUGUAAUUAUAUUAUUUGAUAUAGAUGAUGAUCGUACAAUUAUGUGUUAGGCAUGAUAUAUGUGAAAAACACUAAAAUUGUCUAUUAUCCCAUAGCUACGCACGGGCAUUUACCUAUAUCAUAAUUAUAUAUAUCAUCAAGGGAAUGGAAAAUUAAAAUAUAAUAUAAUUAAUUAAUAUAUUAAUGUGAAUAUCAGAAAGGUUAAUAAAUAUCCAUAAAAAAGAAAGUCUGUUUUUCAAAGGCAAGUGAUAAAUCAGAUUCGUUUUCAUAGGCAAGUG